AUUGAACGCUGGCGGCAUGCCUUACACAUGCAAGUCGAACGGCAGCACGGGUGCUUGCACCUGGUGGCGAGUGGCGAACGGGUGAGUAAUACAUCGGAACAUGUCCUGUAGUGGGGGAUAGCCCGGCGAAAGCCGGAUUAAUACCGCAUACGAUCUACGGAUGACAGCGGGGGACCUUCGGGCCUCGCGCUAUAGGGUUGGCCGAUGGCUGAUUAGCUAGUUGGUGGGGUAAAGGCCUACCAAGGCGACGAUCAGUAGCUGGUCUGAGAGGACGACCAGCCACACUGGGACUGAGACACGGCCCAGACUCCUACGGGAGGCAGCAGUGGGGAAUUUUGGACAAUGGGCGAAAGCCUGAUCCAGCAAUGCCGCGUGUGUGAAGAAGGCCUUCGGGUUGUAAAGCACUUUUGUCCGGAAAGAAAUACUUGGCUCUAAUACAGUCGGGGGAUGACGGUACCGGAAGAAUAAGCACCGGCUAACUACGUG
This 486-nucleotide ribosomal RNA is filed under the name uncultured bacterium. RNAcentral's name for it is "partial 16S ribosomal RNA". It matches the Rfam family "Bacterial small subunit ribosomal RNA", at positions 30 to 507 of the family's 1533-position model. The record is from RNAcentral.